Molecule: long non-coding RNA, 2996 nt
Organism: Piliocolobus tephrosceles (Ugandan red Colobus)
Lineage: Eukaryota; Metazoa; Chordata; Mammalia; Primates; Cercopithecidae
Source: Ensembl
UUUGUAUUUUUCUUUUUUUUCCUUCUUCAUUUUUUUAUGACCGACUAUUAAUAAGUGCGAUGAAAAUCGCUUUAUUUAAUAAAAAAAGGUUACUUAAAAAAAAAAAAAAAAAAAAAAAAAAAAGCAAUUCAUAUAGUUUCACUUGUCGAACAUUAAUGUAAAUAGUUGAUAUUGUUCAUACUGUUUUGUGCAACAAGUAACACGACGAGUUUCCUGAGUUACUUGGUACUAUAUAUAACAAUAACGUGUAAUAAUAACAUAUAACAAUAACAUGUAAUAAUAACACGUAAUAAUAACAUAUAACAAUAACAUGUAAUAAUAACACGUAACAAUAACAUGUAACAAUAACAUGUAACAAUAACAUGUAACAAUAACAUAUAACAAUAACAUGUAACAAUAACAUGUAAUGAUAACAUGUAAUGAUAACAUGUAAUAAUAACAUGUAAUAAUAACAUGUAAUAAUAACAUGUAAUAAUAACAUAUAAUAAAUGAGCGUUACCUUUUUAUACAAUGAUUUCAGAUUGUAAAUACUCUUGGUAGAAAAAAAAAAAAAAAAAAAAAAAAAAAAAAAAAAAAAAGUAAUGCGUUUUUAUUUUUAACUAUGGGUGAUGAGGGCCAUGAACAAAUAGUUAAAUUUGGCUAUACACAUAAUAACGGUACUACUGCUGCUAAAAGUAAUAACACUAGUAGUCGUAACAGGUACAACAAGUAUCCUAAUAGUUAUAAUGAAAACAGAGAAAAAGAAGAGGAAGAAAAAAAAAAAAAAAAAAAUGAAAUAAUAAAAAACCAUAGUAAUAAUAAAGUUGCGAAAAAUGAAACAAGUUUGGGUAAUAAUGCAAACUCUGGCAUUUCUGCCAAUUCGAGUACUUUAGUAAAUUCAUAUAAAAAAAAUUUUUUACAAAAAAAAAAAAACAAGAACUAUUCAACAAAUGAUUACUCAUUUGAAAAAGCAAUUUACAUAGAUAAAUCAAAUAAUAACAAGUUUUACGAAGAAAAAAAAAAAAAAAUUUCCAAUUCAACAAAUGAUUUAAACCGUUUUUUUUCGAACGAAAAUAAUAGCAUAACGAAUAACAACAAAAUAAAUAAUACACGUGUGGGAUUUUAUGACAAUAUAAAUAUAGACCAACACAGCUCUAAUUUUAAUGAAAAUCAAAAUCAAAACAAAAAUCAAAACAAAAAUCAAAACAAAAACCAAAACCAAAACCAAAACCAAAACCAAAACCAAAACAAAAAUCAAAACAAAAAUCAAAACAAAAAUCAAAACAAAAAUCAAAACAAAAAUCAAAAUCAAAAUCAAAAUCAAAACAAAAACAAAAACAUGCUUGACAACAACAAAAAACUUGAGGUACAAACAGAUACAAACAGUGCCGACCCGAGUAACACAAAUAAAUACAACAAAUAUAAAGAAAAGCAUAAGUCACUACUAAGCAAAGAGAGAACAAGCCCUAUUAAUGAUAUAAAUAAUGACAUAAAUAAUGAUGUAAAAAGCGACAACACCAACACCAACACCAACACCAACACCAAUACCAAUACCAACAACAACAACAACAACAACAACAACAGUUAUUACAUAAAGAAUAAACACAUGACCAAUUUUGAAACGAAGAAAUAUAAAAAUAGUCAUGAGAAGAAUAAUAACAUAACGAAUAGAAACAGCAAACACUUUAAGAAUGUGAAUGAAACCCAAAAUAAAUAUUCAAGUAGAAAUACACACCCCAUUGAAAAUGAAAAUAAUAACAUAAACACUAACAAUUUUUAUCACAAAUAUAAAUAUGAAAGUGGUAAAAAUAAAUACAAUAAUUCAAAUUUGAAUGUCAAUGUAAAGAAUAUAGGUUAUUACAAUACAUCUAAGUGUAACAAAUCUAAUUAUAGUCAAAAUGUUUACCACUACGAAAAUACCUAUUACAAUAAAACUAAUUAUUAUAAUAUGAAUUAUAAUAAUACUAAAUUGAAUGAUGAUAUUAAUUAUCGUUUUUAUUAUGGUGAUGCUUCCAAAUCGGAUAACUAUCAAGACUACCAUCAAUCAUCACAUAUGAUUUUUUCUAAAAAAGAGAACAACAUCGGUUAUAUUCGUAACGACUCGUAUAAUAAAAAACAGAACUUCUUUCAUAAUAAGUCUAACAGUCAGCAACUGUCUUUGGAACGCCAAACUAACACUCCAUAUGAUCAGUUUCAUAAACACUCGAACCAAAAACGACAAGAUGAUGAUGAUGAUAAUGAUAAUGAUAAUGAUGAUGAUGAUAGACUUAAUUAUAAUAACAAUUUAAAUAGAAAUUUUUUUAAACAUAAUUCAAAAUUUGAUGCACAUAACAAAAAUAAAUAUAAUUAUAAUAAACAACACAUAGUCAAUUACCCAAAAGUUGGUUUUGACAGGUAUAAUAAUGAUAAAGAUAAUGGAAAAAAAUAUGAACGUGUGCAUAAUAAUAUGAUAUCAAAUGAAAUAAAAAUCGACUCCAAUAAAAAUUGUAAGCGCAUGUAUAACGACGGCGGUAAUAGUGAUAAUGAUAGUAAAAUUAAGUCACAAGAACAUUUUAAAAUUAAUAAUUAUGAAACGUACGCGACUCCCCAAUUUAAUAGUUUUAACUUAGACGUAUCCCAAAAGAUGGAAUCUUAUAUGAAUUACACAAAAAAAGAUUUUUCUUUCAACCAACAAAAAGUAAGCGCACAGAACGAACAUAAUAAAGUAAAUAUAAUAAAUCAAAAAAAUGAUAGCUCAAUUAUAAGCGAAUGCGAAACGAAUGACUCAAAUUGUAAAGAAGCUGAAACAUGCUUUGAAAGUGUUGAUAAAAAUGAAAUAUUAAGAGAAGCAGAAACUUGUUCCGGUAAAAAGGAAGUAAAUGAAAUAGACAACGUGGCUAGCGAAAAAAAAGGAAUAGGAGACACGAUUGGCGAAAAAAAAGAAAUAGGCAACGUGAUUAUCGAAAGAAAAAUAAAAAGAGAAGAAGAAAAAAAAAAAGUUAUGAACUGGAAAACGGAAGAACAAACAUUACUUGAAG